UAGGGAAUCUUCGGCAAUGGACGAAAGUCUGACCGAGCAACGCCGCGUGAGUGAAGAAGGUUUUCGGAUCGUAAAACUCUGUUGUUAGAGAAGAACAAGGACGUUAGUAACUGAACGUCCCCUGACGGUAUCUAACCAGAAAGCCACGGCUAACUACGUGCCAGCAGCCGCGGUAAUACGUAGGUGGCAAGCGUUGUCCGGAUUUAUUGGGCGUAAAGCGAGCGCAGGCGGUUUCUUAAGUCUGAUGUGAAAGCCCCCGGCUCAACCGGGGGGGGUCAAUGGAAACUUGGAGACUUGAGUGCAGAAGAGGAGAGUGGAAUUCCAUGUGUAGCGGUGAAAUGCGUAGAUAUAUGGAGGAACACCAGUGGCGAAGGCGGCUCUCUGGUCUGUAACUGACGCUGAGGCUCGAAAGCGUGGGGAGCAAACAGG
This 429-nucleotide ribosomal RNA is filed under the name Gemmatimonadota bacterium. Its description in RNAcentral is "Gemmatimonadetes bacterium partial 16S ribosomal RNA". It matches the Rfam family "Bacterial small subunit ribosomal RNA", at positions 355 to 776 of the family's 1533-position model. The record is from RNAcentral. Lineage: Bacteria; Pseudomonadati; Gemmatimonadota.